This 1355-nucleotide ribosomal RNA is filed under the name uncultured bacterium. Its description in RNAcentral is "bacterial SSU rRNA". It matches the Rfam family "Bacterial small subunit ribosomal RNA", at positions 28 to 1381 of the family's 1533-position model. The record is from RNAcentral.
AUUGAACGCUGGCGGCAGGCUUAACACAUGCAAGUCGAACGAUGAAACUCUAGCUUGCUAGAGAAGAUUAGUGGCGGACGGGUGAGUAACAUUUAGGAAUCUGCCUAGUAGUGGGGGAUAGCUCGGGGAAACUCGAAUUAAUACCGCAUACGACCUACGGGUGAAAGGGGGCGCAAGCUCUUGCUAUUAGAUGAGCCUAAAUCAGAUUAGCUAGUUGGUGGGGUAAAGGCCCACCAAGGCGACGAUCUGUAACUGGUCUGAGAGGAUGAUCAGUCACACCGGAACUGAGACACGGUCCGGACUCCUACGGGAGGCAGCAGUGGGGAAUAUUGGACAAUGGGGGCAACCCUGAUCCAGCCAUGCCGCGUGUGUGAAGAAGGCCUUUUGGUUGUAAAGCACUUUAAGCAGGGAGGAGAGGCUAAUGGUUAAUACCCAUUAGAUUAGACGUUACCUGCAGAAUAAGCACCGGCUAACUCUGCGCCAGCAGCCGCGGUAAUACAGAGGGUGCGAGCGUUAAUCGGAAUUACUGGGCGUAAAGCGAGUGUAGGUGGCUCAUUAAGUCACAUGUGAAAUCCCCGGGCUUAACCUGGGAACUGCAUGUGAUACUGGUGGUGCUAGAAUAUGUGAGAGGGAAGUAGAAUUCCAGGUGUAGCGGUGAAAUGCGUAGAGAUCUGGAGGAAUACCGAUGGCGAAGGCAGCUUCCUGGCAUAAUAUUGACACUGAGAUUCGAAAGCGUGGGUAGCAAACAGGAUUAGAUACCCUGGUAGUCCACGCCGUAAACGAUGUCUACUAGCCGUUGGGGUCCUUGAGACUUUAGUGGCGCAGUUAACGCGAUAAGUAGACCGCCUGGGGAGUACGGCCGCAAGGUUAAAACUCAAAUGAAUUGACGGGGGCCCGCACAAGCGGUGGAGCAUGUGGUUUAAUUCGAUGCAACGCGAAGAACCUUACCUGGUCUCGACAUAGUGAGAAUCUUUCAGAGAUGAGAGAGUGCCUUCGGGAAUUCACAUACAGGUGCUGCAUGGCUGUCGUCAGCUCGUGUCGUGAGAUGUUGGGUUAAGUCCCGCAACGAGCGCAACCCUUUUCCUUAUUUGCCAGCGGGUUAAGCCGGGAACUUUAAGGAUACUGCCAGUGACAAACUGGAGGAAGGCGGGGACGACGUCAAGUCAUCAUGGCCCUUACGACCAGGGCUACACACGUGCUACAAUGGUAGGUACAGAGGGUUGCUACACAGCGAUGUGAUGCUAAUCUCAAAAAGCCUAUCGUAGUCCGGAUUGGAGUCUGCAACUCGACUCCAUGAAGUCGGAAUCGCUAGUAAUCGCAGAUCAGAAUGCUGCGGUGAAUACGUUCCCGGGCCU